RNAcentral lists this long non-coding RNA (1059 nucleotides) under Marmota monax (woodchuck). Lineage: Eukaryota; Metazoa; Chordata; Mammalia; Rodentia; Sciuridae. The record is from RNAcentral.
CAGCUCCGUUGGAGGAAUGCUGCUGGCAUUCGGGUAGGUCUGAGGUUAUCUGGGAAAAGGACAGCUCGGCUGGGGACCAAGACAAAGGUAUGGUGGCAGAUGGAAUCCUGGGAGGGAUGCGGAUUGAAGAGGAAGCCAGGCCCGGCCUGCUAAGGGUCAUUCCUGGACCUGGUGGAAUGUGGCUAAGACACAGGAAAUAAGGAAAGCCAAAUGUUGCAGGCCUCAACCUGGAGACCCAUUUCUAUCCCUUCUUAAAGCCUGGGUGCGGUGACUAUUAAAUGAGUGUCGCACAGACUGAUUCCAUGUCCUUCAUUGUUAGGAACCUGGAAGUGGGCCCAGAGAGGUGAAGGAGCUACCCAGCGUCACACAGCUAGCAAGUGCUGUCACUCAGACUUCCAACCCAACUAUGACCUCAUAUCCCUAAAGCCUGUACCUUGCCCUGCCUCUGGACUCAAAAGCAGAGCUAAACCAAGCUCAGCAGAAACAAAAGGUUCAAUUCUCCCAACAUCAAAUGCAACACCUGAGCUUUCUUUCAGGAGGUCCACCCCUUGAGAUGCCCCUUGCGCUUUACCCAAAGGAACUGAGUGAAACUUUACAUUAGACUCAUCCAGCCCCCCUCAGUACUGACUGGGGCCCAGAGAAAGCGCCCCUCCCCCUAGGAACCUCCAGCAAGGAGAUUCCGCUUGACCAUCUCUAAAAUGCUCUCUAAAAUGCGCCUUUUACAUUUCUUGAAAUCUGUGGUUCUCAGCCAGGGGCGAUUUUGCCCACCACCUGGGGGAGCAGGGUGGGGGUCUUUGGCAAUGUCUGGAGAGUUUUAGACUGCCACCACUGCGAUGGGGGCAGAUCCAGCAUGUAGUGGGAGGUCAGGGAUACUGCGGAAUACCUAGCGUCCACGGGAGAGCCCCCACACAACUAGGAAUUAUCGGAUCCAAAAGGCCCAUUGUGCUGGGGCUGGGAAUCCUUGGCUUAAAUGAAAGGGACACCAUUUGCCUCUGGAUGAAAAAGCCAGCACAGGCCUAAACAAGUAGGUUCCUUGGUGAUAUUAAUAAGCAAUGAGCU